GACGAACGCUGGCGGCGUGGAUUAGGCAUGCAAGUCGAACGGUAUCAUCCUUUCGGGGGUGAGAGAGUGGCGAACUGGUGAGUAACACGUAGGUUAUCUACCCUCAAGACGGGGACAACCCAGGGAAACUUGGGCUAAUACCGGAUGUGAGCAACUUUUAGUUGUUUGAAAGGUGGCGUAAGCUGUCGCUUGGGGAUGAGCCUGCGUCCUAUUAGUUAGUUGGUGAGGUAACGGCUCACCUAGGCAAUGAUAGGUAGGCGGCCUUAACGGGUGGUCGCCCACACUGGGAUUGAGAUACGGCCCAGACUCCUACGGGAGGCAGCAGUCGAGAAUAGUCUACAAUGGUCGGAAGACUGAUAGUGCGACGCCGCGUGAACGAUGAAUCCCUUCGGGGUGUAAAGUUCUUUUAUAUGUGAGCAGUGCUUCUUAUAUUAACAGUAUGGGGGGAGAGAUAUUAGCAUAUGAAUAAGCAACGGCUAACUCCGUGCCAGCAGCCGCGGUAACUCGU
This 508-nucleotide ribosomal RNA is filed under the name uncultured bacterium. Its description in RNAcentral is "bacterial SSU rRNA". It matches the Rfam family "Bacterial small subunit ribosomal RNA", at positions 28 to 528 of the family's 1533-position model. The record is from RNAcentral.